UUACAGCUUACAAUGAAGAGCUAUUCAUGAGGUGCAGUAUAAUGACAAUUUCAUCUGUUCCCCAUGUCAUGGAUAUGCUCUUCAUAAAAGCUAUAA
Molecule: microRNA precursor, 96 nt
Filed under: Schmidtea mediterranea
Lineage: Eukaryota; Metazoa; Platyhelminthes; Tricladida; Dugesiidae
Description: microRNA sme-mir-281 precursor
Gene: sme-mir-281
Source: miRBase by way of RNAcentral